Molecule: long non-coding RNA, 655 nt
Filed under: Homo sapiens (human)
Lineage: Eukaryota; Metazoa; Chordata; Mammalia; Primates; Hominidae
Description: non-protein coding lnc-MAPK6-13:1
Source: RNAcentral
CAACUGCUCACGAUUCAGUCUGAACAUGUCUCACUCAGCCAUGACACCCAGGAGACAGGGCCUUCAAGCUUGAUUCUGUAUUCCCCUUCCCCUGAUACGAUCACAUGUAAUAGAUGCAUGUGAAGCUAUGGGAAGAAAUGAGGUGGUUGAGAACAAGAGUGAAUGGUGAGAAGGAACCAGGACUGACCCCUGUAGGACACUAACAGUCAGAGGCCAGAGACAGGAGGCACAGUCAGCAAGGGAAGCCAAGAAGAAGUGAUGAAAGAAGUAGACAGAAAAUCAGGAGAACAGGACUCAGAAGUCAAGAGACAAAAGUGCUUCAGCCUGGAGGGGGAGGCCAGCAGGAUCAAAUGCUGCUGAGAGAAUUCACAUAUGAAGCUGACUAAAAGAUACACAAUGGACUUGGCAACAGAAAGAUCAUUGGUGACUUUAGCAAACUUCCGUGUCCAUGAUCAGCUCUGUUCUCCUGGAAACCUGAUAAAGGUGGAACGUUGGCUGUGUUACCAAGCAACAAUGCUUGUGGUAAAAAUGAUCCACUUCAUCUGGACAGCGAGGGCCGUGAAUGAAUCAUAAGUACCUGGUGGGAAGCUGUGGCUCUGGAGUUCUGAAUCUUGACUCUUGGAGCUCGGCACGCCCCUUGAGGAGACAAGGAAGC